Molecule: long non-coding RNA, 4963 nt
Organism: Fukomys damarensis (Damara mole-rat)
Lineage: Eukaryota; Metazoa; Chordata; Mammalia; Rodentia; Bathyergidae
Exons: 3
Source: RefSeq, a predicted model, not a curated record
GUGUAGAAUUCACUGUGUAGCCCAUGCUGGACUCCACAUUUAGAUCCUCCUGCCUCAGCUUCUGGAACACAGGUAUUAUCGCCACCAAGGCUCGCUGUUUAAAUUUUUUUUUAGUUUCUAGUUGUGUUUUAUAUAUAAGUAGACUAGAGAAAAAUCUCCACGUUUUCUCCUAGGAUAGGCUAGAAAAAUAUCCAUCUGUCAGUAGAAUUUAACUUUCAAUAAGUGAAUAAUUUUUUUAUUUUAAAAUAUCUAUUAUUAGAGGAUGCUGACAGUGGAUUAUUAAACUUGAGAUCAUGGGUUGCUCAGUGGGACACCUAAUGCUAUGUAAAUGACACCAUUAUUUUGUAAAUCAAAGUAGCUAUCUGCAUUUACCUAAAUACAGAUCACCUGUGUAUAUCAGUGAACAUGCACUGCAUAUGGUAUGUAAUUAGGCUGUAUACAUACAGGUUUAGUCGUAUGCACAUGUACCUAUCUCUACUUACAAAACAGCAUCAAGGUACUCUUUGGCAACACUUGCUGAAAAUGUGAUAGAUAGUACUGUUUGUUUUAUAAUAUCUGCAUAAGGAUUUUUAAUACUCAUGAUUUGUGAAUAAUAGACAAAUAUGGAAUCUUGGUAUGUUGAUGGUAUGCCAUGUUUAUUUGGGGUUUGUAUAUUAUGUACAUCUGAUAAAUAGCAUUUAUAAGGUAUUUUGUAUUUGCAAAUAUUGGGCAUAGUUUUUUAAGGCAAGACUUGUACAAGCGAAGCCACCAUGCUUCCUUUUUAUUGAAAAGUAAGGUAUAAAGUUAUUCAUAAAAUAAGCUUAAUGAGUUGUUUUUGUUUUACGGAGUUUUUUAUUUUUGGUUCCUUGAAUCUUUUUCAAAUUAGAUAUUCAUCAAAAUAUAGAAAACCCCCAUUUAUAUUUACAAAUUUAUAUAAUUUUUAAAUAUCUGUCUAAUUGCUGAUUAGUCUCUUCCAGUGUUUGUUCAGUUUUCAUUUGCUAGGACUGAACUGUAGAGUAUUUUACUGCUUUAUGGUUGAUGACCAGGUUUCUUUAGAAUGUCUGAGCUUCCCUUUCCCUGCCACAUACACAAUUUUAAGAAUGUAAAACUUUAGAAUAUCUUUUGCCAGUAGAAGAAUUAAAAACCAGUGGUUAGGUUUUCCUUAUUUGGUUUUUAUAAAGAAUUUUCUUCACCUGCUAGUGGUGUGCAAGUAUGUCAGUUGUAGACUGUUUAGAAUUUUCUGUUACAUUAUGUGACUUUUAGUUAAAAUAUUAUAAAAAUGCUGUUUUUUUUAAAAAAAUUCCAUAGUAUUUAAGAAGCUGGCUUAGUAUAUAUCUUUCAGCUUAUAUUUUUGGUAUUUGUAUAUACAGUGUGCUGUCAUAUUAUGGAGAAAGACAAUGUUUUUUUUUUUAACACACCUUUUGACUUGCAUGUAAAAUUGGGUUAUAAUCAUGACAUUGUGCCCAUUUUACUUAAAUUAUCAUGUACUUAUGUAAUAGAUAGCAAUGUUUUAUGUCUACACUAACAUUUAAUGCCAUUUUUUCUCAGUGGACAUGUCUUAAAUUAUGUGGUUCUGUAUUCAUCUCUUGUAUGACAAAAAGCAAUACAACUUUGUAAGUAACAGGCAAAAGUAAUUUCAAGAAUUUAAUGUCUAGAAUUUCUAGAUGCAUUGAGUUGCACAAAUUAUAAUUUUGUAAAUAGGCUGCUUCUCAUACCAUUGUCUUUUGCAAUUAAUAUGGCAUUUAAACAUAUCAUUCACAAAUAGACUCAUAGAACCAAUAUGGUGGCACAGGCCUUUGAUUCCAGCACUCAGGAGGCUGAGCCAGGAAUAACCUAGCUGGGCAACUUAACAAAACCCUUUCUCAAAAUAAAAACUAAAAAAGGGGGAUGUAGCUUGGUCUGCAGGCCCUUGGAUAACUCCUCAGUACUGCUCCAAAAAGAAAGAGGCACAUGGAGAUAUAUAGCAUUUAUCACUUCUUCCUUUGAGUGUUAGAAGAGAAAAUAACAAGGCAGUGUCCUUUUACUCCAUUCCCAUGGAGGAGUAGUUUACAUUGUGUCAAAUAUAAAUUCCAUUUUAAGACUACAAAAUUAUAAGAAAAAUAAUUUGGCCUUCUACGAUUUUGGGUGUGUUUGCUUUACAUGCAUUUCUGAUUUUUGCAGUUAACCUUCAAGAUACAAAUAAUUAUAUUAAAGCAAUUUUGUACUACCUCUUGGAACUAUACAAAGUUCUGUAUGUGUUCCCAUAGUUGCAUGACAAUAUUCAAGACAACUUUGUAAAUAGUCAGAAAAUAAUUUCAACAUCUAGCCUUUUGACAUGAAGAAUCUCACAAAGUAUAAUUUUGUAAAUAAGUCAUAUUUUCAUUUUAUAAUUUUUUGAAAUGAAAUGGUUAGCUGUAGUUUAUUUCAGCUCUAUGUAGCUUGUUAUUUUUUUGGUUGGUUGGGGAAGGAGAAAAUUUAAAAUUGUAUUUUCAGCUGUGAAUUGUCAUCUUUGAGAAAGGUUUCCCAUAUUUUCAAUCUUACACAUUAAAACCCUAGAUCGUCGUUUGUGUAUAUAUUUUGUUUAUUGGGUGUUACAUGGACAUUUUUAUAAUCAUUACAGGAAAUGUCAUAAAUUUCUACCUCUUUGAAUCAACAUAGUAUUAUCUGUUUGAACUGCGUGACAGCAUCAAGACAAGUUUGUAAAUAACAUACAAUUUUAAAACAUCUAGAUUUUCUGGAUGCAUGGAACUCAACAAGGCAUAAAUUUGUAAAUACUUCAUUGUAAAAUACAGUUAAAAUGACUAAUGCUUUUUAAAUUUUGUACUUAAUGUCUCAAAAUAAUAUUUCUGAUAUUUCUGGGUUUUGGUAGAGGUUGAUUAUCUGUAUUCUGACUGAUAGGGUUUAUUGUAUGUGGGAGAUAGACAUUGGUCAUUGUAUAUAUUAUGUUCUUAAAAACAUGGGGCAUUUUUAUCUUUACAAAGAAGAAACAAUGGUAUUGUUCUUUUACAAUCAGAUUCAGAGAAGAUUGCUGAAAUCAUUGUUACUUUGCUGUGCUGUAAUUAACCUUUAAAAAUGUAUUUUAAUGUAUUUGCAUUUUUAUUACAUUCAUGUGGGUAUUAAAUGUCAUGUUGAUAAUCUGUUUUAAGAAUACUAACCCUUUCUCUGUUAUUUACUAUUGCUUUUCAUUUUUAUUUUUAUUUUACAAAUUGUACAAAUUGCUACUUUUCUUAGCUUGCAGAUAUUUCUAGAUCACACAUACUAUUACAUCUAAAUGUAGCAGUAGCAUAAAGACCAUAACUUUCUUUUUGUUUAUACAUUUUUGAGAACAAAAGAAUCUGUGGUUACAAGUCUUUAUAUAAUUUAUGGCACAUGAAAAUUAGACUCACGUACUACCAAUUAUGUUAAGUAAGAGAAUGUCUAAUAAAGAUUUCUGUAUUGAUCAAUGUAAAUCAGAAUAUCUUUCAAGCAAUAAUUUGGCAAGACCAUCGGUUUAAGAGUAUAUUCAGUUUUUGAAAUUAAUUGGUAAAUGGAAUAUUAGCAUAUUUAUAAAAAAUUUACUAGGAAAGAAACUUUCUAUGUGUAGUCAAUGUCUGAACUAUCCAUUGGUGAAAGAAAUCCUAUAGAUUAUAGAUAUUCAACAUGAAUGUAAUUGAAAUACUGAAAUAUCCUUUUGGUAGAGUAUAAGCGUAUUAUGUAUUAAAAAUUUAAGAAGCAUUAACUUUCUGUUCAGCAAUAUGUCCAUAUGCUUUCUUCUAGUCUUCAACUGAAAUGUUAAUAGUUAUAAAAGUGUUAUAUAAUGACAUUCUUGACAUGUACGUACUAUUUCUUGGUAUUAUAGUGUUGGUAUUUUCUUACUCUUUGAGAAUUUUGAGUUAAACAGUAAAAGAAACAUACAAAUUUACAUGACAUCUACAGUGAAUAUUUGGAUAUAAAAUUAUGUGGAAGGAUAUGCCAAAGUUUUCAUACUCAUUAAAGGACGAGUACUGCGAUUUUCUGCAUUUUAGUUUGUAUAAGGCUUUUAAAAUGUUUAAAAGAAUCAAGGCAAGGACCCAAUUUCAAUCUCCGGAACCAAAAAAAAAAAAACAAAAACAAAAAAACCCCCAAAUCCAAGAAAUGUUAGAGACAGUUUGUCCGUUUUCAUCAUUUUUUUAUCAACACUGGGGAAGUUUUGAUUUGGGACAUCCAACCUUGUAUUCAUAUAGCAACAGCCUUUAUAAUUGACUUGUGAAUGGUUUCCUCAAGAGGCUACAAUUUAAAAGACAAUUGUGCAGCAAAGUCUUACUGUAAAACGAAGAGUGUUGGAUUACCUAGAAAGAAGGAGAAGAUGGAAUUUCUGGUGAGGAAGAUGAGAGACUUUUUGGAGCUAAACUGCAUAUAGCUGAUAACAUCCUGAGUGAUAUCACCUAUGAACCAUAGGUGUAUAUUGAAAAGGAACUUGACACCACUGCUUCUGUCAGCCAUGUCUUCAAAACUAAAACAGAGCCUUCAUAAUGCUCAGAGACCUCUCAGGUUAACAAAUUACUGCCAUUGAAGAUCAUUGCUGCACAGAAAAAUUGGACUCAAAUCUACUUGGAAAGAGCUAAAAGAUGGCCUUGCAGAGCAUGUGUACUAGUCAUGACAAUGAUUUUUUUGUUGUUGAUGAUGGACUAAUUCUUAGGGACUGGAGUGGUGGCUCAGUUACUACAGAAGUACAGUGUGGUAGAAUUACAAGGGCUUCAUCUCAGUGCUUCCAUAAGUAUGCAGUGCAUGUGUUUCUAUCACUUCACAGGAUACAGUUGAGACUAACUGAAACUCUUGUUUCUAAAGAAUUUAAGGACAUGGGAUAUUUCAAAGCUAGUUUUUACUUAAAUGAUAUUUUCCUUCCAAUUUUAAUCUUCAGUGAUAUUUGCCAUUUUAAUGGUGUUUUAUCACCAAGCUUUUGGCGUUUUUCAUAAGUAAAAUGAUGCAAAUUUAUUUUAUUUUGUUUUUUGUUUGGUUCUUUCAGGCAGGGUCUCACUACAUAGUU